Molecule: ribosomal RNA, 301 nt
Filed under: uncultured bacterium
Lineage: Bacteria
Description: partial 16S ribosomal RNA
Rfam family: Bacterial small subunit ribosomal RNA
Source: RNAcentral
CAGUAGCCACGGUAAUACGGAGGGUGCAAGCGUUAAUCGGAAUUACUGGGCGUAAAGCGCACGCAGGCGGUCUGACAAGUCAGAUGUGAAAUCCCCGGGCUUAACCUGGGAACUGCAUUUGAAACUGUCAGGCUGGAGUCUUGUAGAGGGGGGUAGAAUUCCAGGUGUAGCGGUGAAAUGCGUAGAGAUCUGGAGGAAUACCGGUGGCGAAGGCGGCCCCCUGGACAAAGACUGACGCUCAGGUGCGAAAGCGUGGGGAGCAAACAGGAUUAGAUACCCCGGUAGUCCCUGUCUCUUAUAC